UCCUACGGGAGGCAGCAGUUGUAACCUUGGGGCCGUGGGCGCCAGCCUGAUGCAGCGACGCCGCGUGAGGGAUGAAGGCCUUCGGGUUGUAAACCUCUUUCAGCAGGGAAGAAGCGAAAGUGACGGUACCUGCAGAAGAAGCGCCGGCUAACUACGUGCCAGCAGCCGCGGUAAUACGUAGGGCGCAAGCGUUGUCCGGAAUUAUUGGGCGUAAAGAGCUCGUAGGCGGUUUGUCGCGUCUGCUGUGAAAGCCCGGGGCUCAACCCCGGGUCUGCAGUGGGUACGGGCAGACUAGAGUGCAGUAGGGGAGACUGGAAUUCCUGGUGUAGCGGUGAAAUGCGCAGAUAUCAGGAGGAACACCGAUGGCGAAGGCAGGUCUCUGGGCUGUAACUGACGCUGAGGAGCGAAAGCAUGGGGAGCGAACAGGAUUAGAUACCCUGGUAGUCCAUGCCGUAAACGUUGGGCACUAGGUGUGGGGGACAUUCCACGUUUUCCGCGCCGUAGCUAACGCAUUAAGUGCCCCGCCUGGGGAGUACGGCCGCAAGGCUAAAACUCAAAGAA
RNAcentral lists this ribosomal RNA (561 nucleotides) under uncultured bacterium. RNAcentral's name for it is "bacterial SSU rRNA". It matches the Rfam family "Bacterial small subunit ribosomal RNA", at positions 337 to 908 of the family's 1533-position model. The record is from RNAcentral.